This 303-nucleotide ribosomal RNA is filed under the name Triticum aestivum (bread wheat). Its description in RNAcentral is "partial small subunit ribosomal RNA". The record is from RNAcentral. Lineage: Eukaryota; Viridiplantae; Streptophyta; Magnoliopsida; Poales; Poaceae.
AUGUUAUGUAUUGCUGGUGACAUUUUAUGUAUUGCUUUGGUUUGUCCACAGUCAACCAAAUUAUGGAGUUUCAGUCAUAUAUGUUGUCUGUUAUUUCAUACUCGCCGGUCUCCGACCGCCGGCGUCGGCAGCACCGCCGCCUCCUCCAACACUCUUUGUCGGCCGCCCGCGUGCCGGUGCGAGGAAGCCAUGGAGCUGAGGGAGCAGGCGCAAAAUCUAUGGUACACAUCAAAUCGAAUCAAUAGUGGUUUUCUACAGGCACAUCAGUGCAAAAAAAUGACAAUUGAUAGCCUCUCCUUUUAG